UGGGGAAUUUUGGACAAUGGGCGAAAGCCUGAUCCAGCCAUGCCGCGUGCAGGAUGAAGGCCUUCGGGUUGUAAACUGCUUUUGUACGGAACGAGAAGACUCUGGUUAAUACCUGGGGUCCAUGACGGUACCGUAAGAAUAAGCACCGGCUAACUACGUGCCAGCAGCCGCGGUAAUACGUAGGGCGCAAGCGUUAAUCGGAAUUACUGGGCGUAAAGCGUGCGCAGGCGGUUAUAUAAGACAGAUGUGAAAUCCCCGGGCUCAACCUGGGAACUGCAUUUGUGACUGUAUAGCUAGAGUACGGCAGAGGGGGAUGGAAUUCCGCGUGUAGCAGUGAAAUGCGUAGAUAUGCGGAGGAACACCGAUGGCGAAGGCAAUCCCCUGGGCCUGUACUGACGCUCAUGCACGAAAGCGUGGGGAGCAAACAGGAUUAGAUACCCUGGUAGUCCACGCCCUAAACGAUGUCAGCUGGUUGUUGGGUCUUCACUGACUCAGUAACGAAGCUAACGCGUGAAGUUGACCGCCUGGGGAGUACGGCCGCAAGGUUG
This 548-nucleotide ribosomal RNA is filed under the name uncultured bacterium. RNAcentral's name for it is "bacterial SSU rRNA". It matches the Rfam family "Bacterial small subunit ribosomal RNA", at positions 355 to 896 of the family's 1533-position model. The record is from RNAcentral.